GCCAGCCCCGACUCACCAGCCCUAGCCCUGCUCUUCACCUGUCAGCCUCCUGCAAGAGGAAAAGAAAAUAAAUGUCUGCCUCGCUCCCGUCUGUGUUCUGAGCAACUGGCCUUCCAAGUGCAUUUGUCCAGCACGUGAAGGACAAGACCACAUGGGUUCGGGUGAGAUUCCCAGGACGGGAUUCGGAGAAUGGCUCCACAUUCCCUGCAGGUGCAGCCACACCUCCCGGGGGCACAGUGGCAGCUGUCUGAAGGCCCCCCAGUCUUGGAAGGCUGGAGACAAAAGUAACUGCCAAAGCCGCCAACACCCUAGAGGCCCUUUGCAAGCAGGAUAAUCCCUGGGCGCCCGGCCCUGGGCAGGAGGCCCCUGGAGAAGGAGCUCCGUGUCCAGGCUGGCCUGAGAAUCAGGCAGCUGCUUUCAGAGGGAGCCAGCUGGGGUCUGCCCGCCCCACUCUGCUCGGGCAGGGAUGCUGCUGCCACCGGGCCACGGAGCCUGGUCCACAGCAACCUCCAGCGGCUUGUUCUGGAACCUUCUCCUCUCCCAGGACCAACUCAGAGGUGGAUCCCAGAUGAUCUCAUGCUGCAUUUUGGGCUGGAUUCUGCUACCCUUUGUUCCUGUGGUCAGAGCAGGGUCCUCUGUGCUGCGUAGGCCCCGGGAGCAGCAUCUUGGCGCAUCCAUGGCUGGCCCUUCCAGAACACACGCACUUCCCAGCAUACCCUUGAAGGAGGAAGUGACCUUUCUACACAGCGAAAGCCUUGAAGGCGCCUGCAUCUCCCUAUUGGUCUUCUGACCUCAGAUGACAGACCAGCGCCUGCCCGGAGCUCCAGCCCCGCCCCAGCCCU
Long non-coding RNA from Ailuropoda melanoleuca (giant panda), 842 nucleotides. RefSeq lists it as uncharacterized. NCBI's taxonomy places the organism in Eukaryota, Metazoa, Chordata, Mammalia, Carnivora, Ursidae. The record is from RefSeq and is a predicted model, not a curated record. The transcript has 4 exons.